RNAcentral lists this ribosomal RNA (404 nucleotides) under uncultured bacterium. Its description in RNAcentral is "bacterial SSU rRNA". It matches the Rfam family "Bacterial small subunit ribosomal RNA", at positions 335 to 736 of the family's 1533-position model. The record is from RNAcentral.
ACUCCUACGGGAGGCAGCAGUGAGGAAUAUUGGUCAAUGGAGGGAACUCUGAACCAGCCAUCCCGCGUGUAGGAAGACGGCCUUAUGGUUGUAACUACUUUAUACAGGAAGAAACGUACCCUCGUGAGGGUGCCUGACGGUACUGUAGGAAUAAGCACCGGCUAACUCCGUGCCAGCAGCCGCGGUAAUACGGAGGGUGCGAGCGUUUAUCCGGAUUUUUAUUGGGUUUAAAGGGUCCGUAGGCGGAUUAAUAAGUCAGUGGUGAAAUCCCAUCGCUUAACGAUGGAACUGCCAUUGAUACUGUUAGUCUUGAAUGAGGGUGCAGUGGUUGGAAUGUGUAGUGUAGCGGUGAAAUGCAUAGAUAUUACACAGAACACCGAUUGCGAAGGCAGAUCACUAACCCU